This 329-nucleotide ribosomal RNA is filed under the name uncultured eukaryote. Its description in RNAcentral is "partial 18S ribosomal RNA". It matches the Rfam family "Eukaryotic small subunit ribosomal RNA", at positions 1470 to 1796 of the family's 1831-position model. The record is from RNAcentral.
CCCUUAGAUGUCCUGGGCCGCACGCGCGCUACACUGAGUGUCUGAGAUACGAGUCUGCCUGGACCGGCAAGGUCUAGGUAAUCGCUAAAAGACACAUCAUGCUUGGGAUAGAUUAUUGCAAAUAUUAAUCUUGAACGAGGAAUUCCUAGUAAGCGCAAGUCAACAGCUUGCGUUGAUUACGUCCCUGCCCUUUGUACACACCGCCCGUCGCUACUACUGAUUGGAUGUUUAAGCGAGGUUCUCGAACUGCUAGCGACUUAGCUUCGGUGAGGUCGCAGUGUGGGAAGUGAACCUAGCUUUGGUGUCUAGAGGAAGUAAAAGUCGUAACA